RNAcentral lists this ribosomal RNA (549 nucleotides) under uncultured bacterium. RNAcentral describes it as "bacterial SSU rRNA". It matches the Rfam family "Bacterial small subunit ribosomal RNA", at positions 355 to 896 of the family's 1533-position model. The record is from RNAcentral.
UAGGGAAUCUUCGGCAAUGGGGGCAACCCUGACCGAGCAACGCCGCGUGAGUGAAGAAGGUUUUCGGAUCGUAAAGCUCUGUUGUAAGAGAAGAACGAGUGUGAGAGUGGAAAGUUCACACUGUGACGGUAACUUACCAGAAAGGGACGGCUAACUACGUGCCAGCAGCCGCGGUAAUACGUAGGUCCCGAGCGUUAUCCGGAUUUAUUGGGCGUAAAGCGAGCGCAGGCGGUUAGAUAAGUCUGAAGUUAAAGGCUGUGGCUUAACCAUAGUACGCUUUGGAAACUGUUUAACUUGAGUGCAGAAGGGGAGAGUGGAAUUCCAUGUGUAGCGGUGAAAUGCGUAGAUAUAUGGAGGAACACCGGUGGCGAAAGCGGCUCUCUGGUCUGUAACUGACGCUGAGGCUCGAAAGCGUGGGGAGCAAACAGGAUUAGAUACCCUGGUAGUCCACGCCGUAAACGAUGUCGACUAGCCGUUGGGAUCCUUGAGAUCUUAGUGGCGCAGCUAACGCGAUAAGUCGACCGCCUGGGGAGUACGGCCGCAAGGUUA